Lytechinus variegatus (green sea urchin) is the source of this 4847-nucleotide long non-coding RNA. RefSeq lists it as uncharacterized. The transcript is spliced from 2 exons. NCBI's taxonomy places the organism in Eukaryota, Metazoa, Echinodermata, Echinoidea, Temnopleuroida, Toxopneustidae. The record is from RefSeq and is a predicted model, not a curated record.
GCAUCUUAUCACACUUUUUGAACACUCUGACAUUCUUGCAACUUCAAAGACACUGCAGAGCCAUCCUUUUCCACAGAUUGCUCAGUUUACUGCCAUACUUGGCAUGGAAAGUGGUUGCUACAUGUAAAUCAUCACAGGGAGUUGCUUUGUUGACAUUGCGGAGAUAAAUAGGUCUUCUACACAGGAGUAUUUAGUACCUCACCAGGCAUGACCUAGGCACAUGCCGGCUGCAAUGGAACUCCUGUGAACAGUUGGCCACAGCUCUGCAGUUGCACCAAACUGAAGAGCGAUUGGAGUAUAUCUUUAUAAAAAAAACAAAGCUCAUCUCUUUUCUUGAUAAUUCUUGAUAACAGCAUUCGGUAGACGCCUUUGUGAAGUUGGUUUUUGGGAAGAAAAAAAUCAAUGUCGGUAUGGUGUCAUGUUUCAGUAGCUUCCUUUUGGGGGUAUAUCCCAUCCUUUGGUGCUUCUGAAGCUGGUUUUGGGGCGAUGAACAAACAUCUUGUGUGGCGGAUAGGUCUUCCUGGAGGAAAUGUAGCUCAAAAUGAUCUUCACAUACCACCUGACUUUGCACAUAUUUCUAUUUCUUUACAUCAAAUUUAUCCGCUCUGAUGUCAUGUAGCCAUUUAGCACGUCUUUCUCGAUGAGUGAAUAUCUUUUGGAUCGCAAAGAAACUGUGUUUCAGCUCAACUGCAUAGGUAGAAUCUUGUUUCGGGGGGGGGGGGGGGCAGUAGCCCUGCCCACGAACUGUGCCAUCAAUUACACAGCCACGCUUGGGGGGAGGGUGCAGGGAGGGGGUAGUUUCUCCCCUUCCACGCACAGCACAGAAGCUUUAAAGGCUCCUUUAAUUACAAUAGAAAGAAGAGGACUCCUGAUCCUUGUCUUAAAUUUUGAAGGAUAUUUAUUUUUUAUCAUGCAUGUGAUAUUGUGUAGUGGCAUUUUUAAUCAAUCAGUCAAAUCACCAUAACAAUCAACAUUUCAUCACAAAAUUUCCAUGCUGGGUGCUAGUUGUAAAUACUGGUUGGCUUAGAAAAUCCUGUCAGUAAGAAAACCGUCUGGACCUUUGUGAGUAAAGUCCUUAAUGUUUCUGGCGGGACCAACAUCAUUUUAUGCACGUGUUCCAUCUGUAGACAAGUUCUGUUUUUAUUUGUGCGGUGACAAGGUUGGAAAGAGCACCCAAGACAGGACAGACGAGAUUGGAAAUAAGAGAGAUGAAGAAGCCCCCUUGCUGGGUGAUGAUUCGUUUUCGUUCUUUUAACAGUGUUUUUCUGUCUGCCAGUUUUCGAAGAUGAUGCCUAUGCUUAUUCAGUGAACGUUUAUGCGUGGGAGAAAGUUUGACAUUUCCACGGACCACGUUGAAAACACACUCGCAGAUGGCGUCAAUGAGCCCCUUGAGACACGAUUACUAAACUAAACCCGAUAUACAAUUUAAUCAAAUUUUAUACUUUGGAAAUGUAAGCGAAUUGAGUUCUCCAGGAAAAAUAUUCGUUCUAAGAUGUAAUUCUUCGGGGAUAUCUUGUUCAAGGUCAACAAAUAACUACCCCUAUUCAAGACAAUGAUGACUUGAAUGUCCAAGGAAUUGUCAUUCAACAUGUCCAAUGAUUCAGCGUUCGUUUUAAUUAAUGUGGUUUUAGGUAAAUUGCUUCUUUCAGCAAACUUUCCCCAAAGUACAUUUAUGAUUCCUUUUGAAAUUGCACGCAAGCCUGGAUUUUUUUUUCAAUUUUGGCGGGGUCAAGCGCGAUUCCCUCAUGUUCGAGGUAUUUUGAGAUAUAAUUCUCCUUUUCUACGCUGGUAAUUUCAUGGGUGGGUUAACUCGAGGAUUCUUGUUUUAUUUUCAUAAACGCGUCAAUAUAGGGGGGAAAUAACCCACCUUUGCGGGUUUAAGGAUUGUAUUGUGUAGAAGCUGAAAAAUGCCAUACUUCUUCGAAUUUCAGAUUAGAAUACCCCAUUUCCACAGCCUUUUUCAACUCCUCCGAUACCCAUACCCCCUGCAAUGCGCGUUUACUAUCGUCAUGGGAACAAGGGCCUUGAUUAAGAGAGUUAGUAUAUGUCCUACAUAGAGAGAAAGUCAAUUUCCCUCCUGAACGGUAUGGCAAGACGGGGUGAAACAAUCUCUCGGCGGGAGGAUACUACAUUUGACGAGACCAAAUAUAUGAUAGAAAAUAAUAUUGUCUGCUACAUUCAGACUUACAGUUGGUUUAUAUUAGUCUUAAUCCAUGCUUUUACUAUAAACAAUGAAAUUAAAUUUUGGACAGAAUAUUUAGUAAUACUUGGAUGGACAAAUGCAUCAAGACCAGAUUACACAAGAUAUUCAUUUUUAACUGCAUAUUUUAAUUCAGGAUGAGAUGACUCAAAAUAUGCUGUUUGGUUUUAUCAUUUCAGAUUGAAUAAAAUCUACAUAUCUACUGUAGAAAUAUCUCAAUUCCAUAGUUCACAUCUCGGCUUCUUUUGUACUAUCCAAUGAUUCCAUCAUGAAUUGUUUUGAUCCUACCAGGAGCUCCCUGAAUGAGUUCCCUUAUGGUAUCGUGAUUGAUGACCAUGGAGUUGGCAACGUUUAAAGUAAAAACCCUGAAUUUGCAUUUGGUGUUACCUUUGUUUGUCAGAUAGCUAUAAUUUUUAGGCCCACCGCAUAACCAUGUUUGUAUAAACUUGCUAUUGGUAUCAUCGAUUUCAUCGGUAAGGUCCCCUACAAAAUCUCCCAUGGGAGGGUCAAGAUAUUCCACAUGAGGGUCCGUCUUGAAAACGACACUGUCUAUAUUGUAGUACAGAACCCCAUCUCCCAAUUGUUCAAGGACGAUGUACAGUUUUAACUAGGCUAAAGCCGUUGUAAACGAGGCAAUGAUUAUAUUGGUAUUGACAUUAUGAUCGACAAAACCACUUGCCAAGGUGUAGUGUACUUUGAUUAAAUGCUCAUUCAAGACAAUAAUAUCUUGAAUGUCCAAGGAUUUGUCAUUGAACAUGUCCAAUAAUUCAGCGUUCGUUUUAUUGAAUGUGGUUUUAAGUAAAUUGCUUCUUUCAGCAAACUUUCCCCAAAGUACAUUUAUGAGUUCUUCCUUGACAUUAUUUUUCCUUAAGCUUCCCAUUCUGUUGAGUUGCCUUCUCCAUACACUUGAAUAAACGGUAAAUGCUAUCGGUAACAUGGAACAACCCCCCUCUGUCCUGGAUAUUGAUCCACACAUUUGUGUAGCUCAAAAAUGAGGUUGAGUCAAUCUCAUCCUUCCUCCAAGAAGACAACAAAUGUACAUACUCUUGGGCAGUUUCAGAAGAUUGUUUGGAGUAUCUCUUGAUAAGGUUUAAAGGAAUGUAUCCACUCAUAUAUCUAAUAGCAAGUAAAUCCUGCUCAGAUAAGUUUACAUCACAGGGAGCAUUUUCUUCCAUCAGUUCUGCAGCAUUUCGCUCAGUUACAAGAGCUAAUAAAAGUAGCCAGAGUACGUACUGCAACAGCAGUUGUUCGACGAUAUGCUUUGAGUGUAUAUUGCAAGAGUCCAAAAGGUUGUUCCACUUAGUAGAUAAGUUAUCGAUAUAUGUGGAAAUUCUUCCACAUGGCUUCCUGACUUAAUGGGCCAACUGGCAAUUGAUCCCCAGAUGAGGCAACUCCCCACAUGUCGCUGGUAACUUGUUCACAGAAUACUUCAAACGAUGCAUCGUUGAUACAUUGCAUGAGGGACUGUGAUAGGUGGAUGACGUCUUUUCCGUAUCCAUGCUUGGUUUUGAAGUCUUUGUGAUGCUGAACACCUUCUACUAUUCCUUUCAUUCGUUCUGCCUUCGUCUCCAAGACUAAAUCUUUUGUCAGUGUAGAUGGCCUGUAAACUGGAAAAAAAAAAGUGUUAGUUGAAAAUUAAUAGUAAAAAGUUCCAAGUCCUGUCCUGAAUUGACAGCUUAAGGCAAAAUUCUUGUUAUGAUACGAUUUUUGUUUUCAUCUUGUAAGGCAUUCUAUACACUAAAAAGUAUUUGCAUAUUUAUUUGUCAGUUAAUAUUUUCAAUAUUUCACUUUGAAAAACGUCACAAAAUGAGAACACAGCAAAAUCUGGAAAUAUUUAUUUUGUUAAAAAAAACGCUUUCAAAUACAUGCAAAUCUUGUACAUUUACAUACGCAGGAGUUGGGAGCAAACAUUGUUUCACAAUGGGAUGUUAGAAAUACUAGACCCUGAUUAAAUACUGAUUAAAAAAAAUAUUAAUGCGUUGCAUUACUGGAUUGGUAUACAGAAAACUGAAAUCUGUAAAAGGAAAAAAAUACUGGAAACAUUUUUUUAAAAUCCAUUUGCUAUGUUAACUUGCUGCAUCAUCAUUGGAAGUUUGAAAUAAGACUUUAUUCUUAAAAGCUGUCAAAAUAUGACCUAGCAGUAAUUAAUACUUCCUAAUAAAUUGGCACAUGUACACAACUGGCUUUUUUGCAUAAUCUCAUUUCUAAUUCUAAGCAUGACACAGUAAAUAUAUUUUGGGGUUCAACCAUGAAGCAGUGUAAUGUGCUGCUAUUGUCCUUGCUUACCUUUUGGAUUCUGUUUUUUUUUAGACGAAGAUGGACCUGUCGUUGCUGUUGGACGUGUACUUUUAGAAGACUUGCUCGAGCUUGCAAUAUCAGAUGGGUCUUGGCUGUUCAACUGUGGCAGUUGCAACUUCCUCACCUAAUUGACAUAGAAUAAAAAUCCAAGCAAGAAUAAGCUGGGCUCCACACUAAACCUUUUUUUUACUGGUCCAACUUAUUCUUGUCAGACCAGUAGUUACCCAGUUUUCAAUUUUUUUUACUGGUCCGAACCUCAAAUUUUACAGGAAAAGCUGAAUAAAGAAAACUUAAAAAAAAAACACCUGGACCUAUUUUGCUUUGUUUGCCACCCCACCCCCCCCCCCCC